ACUCCCCUGCCGCCGGGUAUGGGAGCUAUGCGUCAGAUUUUCUAUCGUUAGGCCAAUGAAGAUAGAAAAUUCUGGCGCUAUUUUUUU
Molecule: non-coding RNA, 87 nt
Filed under: unclassified sequences
Source: RNAcentral